RNAcentral lists this non-coding RNA (112 nucleotides) under Gloeochaete wittrockiana. Lineage: Eukaryota; Glaucocystophyceae; Gloeochaetales; Gloeochaetaceae. The record is from RNAcentral.
GAAGAAGAGGAAGAAAAGGACGAAGAGUGGGAUGAAUAACUCUCUUUCUCUUUCUCUUUCAUCUGGCGUCUUGCUUUCCCUUUCUCUUUCUCCUUUCCCUUCAUCUUUGUGA